GCCUCUUGUAGCAUUGCUGACUUCACAAAGUAGUCUCAGUGAGUUUUGUCCCCUGAGAUGGGAGAAAAAUGGAAUCAUUCUGUUCUCCAGUUGUACAAAGUGCUGUCCAGGAGCCAAAACUGAGGGAAGGAUACAGGAAGAAAGAUACAGGCAUCCGUGCAAAACAGGAAAGACAAGAGGAGCCUGCAGACUCCAGUGAACAAGGAAACAAACCCAGCAGGCCGGAUACUGUGACGAGCACUCUGGGGACUCACUUUGUUCCUCCAAGCUGA
Molecule: long non-coding RNA, 272 nt
Filed under: Fukomys damarensis (Damara mole-rat)
Lineage: Eukaryota; Metazoa; Chordata; Mammalia; Rodentia; Bathyergidae
Description: lncRNA (ENSFDAG00000025614.1)
Source: RNAcentral